Small nuclear RNA from Ictalurus punctatus (channel catfish), 178 nucleotides. Its record names the gene U2. It matches the Rfam family "U2 spliceosomal RNA". Rfam says of the family: U2 is a small nuclear RNA (snRNA) component of the spliceosome (involved in pre-mRNA splicing). Complementary binding between U2 snRNA (in an area lying towards the 5' end but 3' to hairpin I) and the branchpoint sequence (BPS) of the intron results the bulging out of an unpaired adenosine, on the BPS, which initiates a nucleophilic attack at the intronic 5' splice site, thus starting the first of two transesterification reactions that mediate splicing. NCBI's taxonomy places the organism in Eukaryota, Metazoa, Chordata, Actinopteri, Siluriformes, Ictaluridae. The record is from Ensembl.
AAAUUUUUUCGAAAGAAAAAAAAAAUCUGUUCUUAUCAGUUUAAUACCUGAUACGUCCUCCAUUCGAGGACUUUAUAUUAAACGGAUUUUUUAGAGCGAGGAGCUGGAAGAGGGGCUUGCUCCGUCCGCUCCACGCAUCGACCUGGUAUUGCAGUACUCCAGGAACGGUGCACCUUUU